Long non-coding RNA from Sebastes umbrosus (honeycomb rockfish), 99 nucleotides. RefSeq lists it as uncharacterized. The record is from RefSeq and is a predicted model, not a curated record. NCBI's taxonomy places the organism in Eukaryota, Metazoa, Chordata, Actinopteri, Perciformes, Sebastidae. The transcript is spliced from 3 exons.
UAAUGAUGCACGGUUUAGUCACACCCACCGGUCCGUUAUGAGAGCCAAUCCGCCCACCCAACAUGUAAAAAUGCGUUAAAGAUAUACUGAAAGCCCCCC